RNAcentral lists this ribosomal RNA (301 nucleotides) under uncultured bacterium. Its description in RNAcentral is "partial 16S ribosomal RNA". It matches the Rfam family "Bacterial small subunit ribosomal RNA", at positions 509 to 807 of the family's 1533-position model. The record is from RNAcentral.
CAGCCGCCGCGGUAAAACGUAGGGUGCGAGCGUUGUCCGGAAUUACUGGGCGUAAAGGGUGCGUAGGCGGUUUGGCAAGUUUGGUGUGAAAUCUUCGGGCUCAACUCGAAGUCUGCAUCGAAAACUGCCGGGCUUGAGUAUGGGAGAGGUGAGUGGAAUUUCCGGUGUAGCGGUGAAAUGCGUAGAUAUCGGAAGGAACACCUGUGGCGAAAGCGGCUCACUGGACCAUAACUGACGCUGAUGCACGAAAGCUAGGGGAGCAAACAGGAUUAGAUACCCCCGUAGUCCCUGUCUCUUAUAC